Molecule: long non-coding RNA, 2604 nt
Organism: Bos grunniens (domestic yak)
Lineage: Eukaryota; Metazoa; Chordata; Mammalia; Artiodactyla; Bovidae
Source: Ensembl
CAGAGCCCGGCGGGGGAGGGCGGCUACAAGAGGGGCGGGGCCUGGGCGGGGCCGGGCCACGCAAAGCCCCGCCCCCGCCCGCCCGCGAGCCGGACUUGGCCGGAGGCGGUGGGGGGGGCGGGAAAAACAGGUCUCGAGGGGCGGGGCUGGUCCAUGCCCCGCCCACCAGCCCGAUUUCUCCGCAGCUGACCGAGUCCUGGGGUCUCAAACGCAAGCCCGGAGAGGCGGGCCCUUGUGAAACCACGCCCACAGCUCGCCCACCCUAUGGCGUAUCGCACAGUCUAAAGCAGGGAAGGAACGGCAGGCGGGGCGGGGCAACCCUGGCCCCACCCAGGGAGCGCCAGCGAUCACCACGGGAGCCUCCACGCUGUGGGGGCGGGGUCGGAUGAAGGAAAGGCGGGGUCUGAAGGCGGGGCCAGGCCACGGCUCCUGGCCUCGAGGGGGCGCGACCCUGCCGACUCCCUCCUGCCGGGCCUUAUCUACGCGCGCCGGGCCGGUCAGUGCAAUAGCGACCGCAGCUUUCAUCAUCACCCGGGGAAGGAUCCCAACCCCGCCCAGCCCCGACUAUCCGCAACUCUACUGAGCCGACCCCCCAUAGCGCCACCCUCAGCUCUACCCCUGUCGUAACCCGUGGCCCUGUAGACGGGCCUCUAUGGGCCCAUCCAUUUCCCAACUCCAGGAGGGCAUCCUUCUCCAGGAAGCCCUCCUGAAUCGCUGGCUCCCAUGGCCUCUGGGCCUCCUUCUCUGCUCUCCCUGGAGCUAUCUGAGCCAUAGGUGGGAUGAGGUUCACAGUGGGGUCCGCACUAGCCUGAGGGGGAGCAUACACCCAGCUUGCAGGGGCCACAUGGACUCUUUCCAGACAACACACUCUUCCAUUCCCCUGCCUCCCCCUCUUACUAACCUUGGGCAAAUGACUUCACUUCUCCACACCUCAAUUUCCUCACCUAUGAAAUGGAAAUAAUAAGAGUACCCAUAACCCAGGGUUGUUGUGAAGAUUAAAUGAGUUAAUGCAUUAAAGCACUUAGCAAGGGACUUUGCCCAAGGGGAAACACUGCUAGUGUUUGUUCAACAAUCAGGCCUGAGUCUUGCCGUUGAGGUGCUACAGGAAGGGGUUCCCCCAGAAGAUGGGGAUUUCCAGAUUUCACCAGAUGGCGGAAGGGGGCCUGUCUGCUGUAGGAUCCUUAGAGUUCAAUAACCUUGAAGGAACUGGCCACAGACAUGUGCUUUCCAUAAAUAUGUAUGUCAGGCAUUGUUCAGAGUGCUGGGGACACAGCACUGAAUGAGACAGACAAAUAUCCCUGCCUUCAUGGGCAUCCCUUGUCCUCAGCUGACAUUCUGGUGAGGGGUUGUAGAACACGAAUAAAUAGAAAGUGGGAUAAUGUAUUAUGAAGAUGACAGAACAGUAACAGGAUGGAGAGUGCUUCCCAGGCUGUCUGAGACUGGACACUUGGAGGACCUUCCAAGGAACUAAUAUUUGGAAUGAGACCACCCUUCUCCUCCACCUCACAACAAGAAGGAUCCAGGCAUGAUAAAGAACAGUAAGUGGAAAGAUCCUGAUGUGGGAAUAAACUUGAUGUAUUCAAGGGAAGUCAAGAAAGCAGUGGUGAUGCCUGGACUGACAGGACGAGAUGAAGGCAGCCCCUCACAUGGAGACUUAAAGGUCCUGGUGGCAGAUCUGGGAAUUAUCCUGGGAGCAACAGAGCCAUGGAGGGUUUUGCACAGAAGGACCUGUUGCAUUUGAGCUGCGAAGUUUGCAGCUGGCAACCCAUAAGGAGGUGCCCCAGUGAUGUUCACACAGCAGCUGAUGAUGUGGGACAAAGGGAGUAAGUCAUCAGGGAAGCCUAACCCGAUCACCCCAUAUUAUUAUCUCUUUCUUAUGUAUGGGGAGACUGAGGUCCACAGAGAGCAAUUACUUGCCUGCAGUCACACAGCUGCCAGGUGGUGCCAACAGAGCAGCCAGGUACACAGCAGUUGUCAAAUGGUUGCUGAAAUCUGCCAGCCACAAGCACUUUCCCUCUCACGGCAGCUUUGCUGACUUAAAUGGAGACUUGUGGUUCUUCCCCUUUUUAAUCACAGUGCAAGCCUUCCCUCGCGCCAGAUUUCUCUGAGGCCCCAAGUGGUUUCCUUUCUCGUUUAAUUUCUUCUCGCCACGCGUCCCCUCCAGAGUCCAGUUUCUUGUUUCAGUGCUCUCCGCGGUUGAGACUUCUCACUUCGUUUUUGUUUUUCCUUAGAAAGGCAAAGGGUUUUCAGCGAAUACCCCUCCACCGCCUUGCCCUAGAUUUCAGAGCAUCACGGCUUAGAGCAGCGAUUUCAUCUUCUUCUCAGGCAGGCUGGCCGGCCUCGGCUCCUCCCACUUCACAGGUCACUGGGGCCCAAAGGGAGUAAGAGGUUUAUUCGAAUUCCCCGGAAACAAGCAAAGCGGUCUUGGGGGAGCCGCCAGCCCUUCUUUCUGACAGUGAAGAAUGCUGAGCCGGAGCGCACCGACUGCCUGCCAAGCUUCGGGGCUCGGAUACUCUCAGGAUUAAUAAGAGUAACAAAAGAGUAGUCGGUAACUAUUAGUAAAUACUUAAUCGGAUCACUGAUAGUGAUAUUAACAACUGAUAU